CCUACGGGAGGCAGCAGUGAGGAAUAUUGGUCAAUGGACGAGAGUCUGAACCAGCCAAGUAGCGUGAAGGAUGACUGCCCUAUGGGUUGUAAACUUCUUUUAUAAAGGAAUAAAACGAGGCACGUGUGCCUUUUUGCAUGUACUUUAUGAAUAAGGAUCGGCUAACUCCGUGCCAGCAGCCGCGGUAAUACGGCGGAUCCGAGCGUUAUCCGGAUUUGUUGGGUUUAAAGGGAGCGUAGAUGGGUUGUUAAGUCAGUUGUGAAAGUUUGCGGCUCAACCGUAAAAUUGCAAUUGAUACUGGCAGUCUUGAGUACAGUUGAGGUAUGCGGAAUUCGUGGUGUAGCGGUGAAAUGCUUAGAUAUCACGAAGAACCCCGAUUGCGAAGGCAGCUUACUAAACUGUGACUGACAUUGAUGCUCGAAAGUGUGGGUAUCAAACAGGAUUAGAUACCCCAGUAGUC
Molecule: ribosomal RNA, 460 nt
Filed under: uncultured bacterium
Lineage: Bacteria
Description: partial 16S ribosomal RNA
Rfam family: Bacterial small subunit ribosomal RNA
Source: RNAcentral